UACGUCAAGUCAUCAUGGCCCUUACGGCCUGGGCUACACACGUGCUACAAUGGUCGGUACAGAGGGUUGCCAAGCCGCGAGGUGGAGCUAAUCCCAGAAAACCGAUCGUAGUCCGGAUCGCAGUCUGCAACUCGACUGCGUGAAGUCGGAAUCGCUAGUAAUCGCGAAUCAGAAUGUCGCGGUGAAUACGUUCCCGGGCCUUGUACACACCGCCCGUCACACCAUGGGAGUGGGUUGCACCAGAAGUAGCUAGUCUAACCUUCGGGAGGACGGUUACCACGGUGUGAUUCAUGACUGGGGUGAAGUCGUAACAAGGUAGCCGUAG
RNAcentral lists this ribosomal RNA (325 nucleotides) under uncultured bacterium. Its description in RNAcentral is "bacterial SSU rRNA". It matches the Rfam family "Bacterial small subunit ribosomal RNA", at positions 1181 to 1505 of the family's 1533-position model. The record is from RNAcentral.